AUUCUUUACUUGUAGCCGUUCUUUACUUUAUUAGUUAUUCUUUAUCAUUAGCUUUUCUCUAGUCUUUACUUGGUCACAUAACGCUCAUUGGCGAUUCUUUCCUAAGGUUGCUCAUACCUUAGCCAUCUAUGCCACUUGACUCGGUUUUGAGUCAAUCCUCUACGGAUAGUCCGCACACUGGCUGCUCAACAGCCCAUCGCACUCGAUGACUCGGCCACCCGGCGGCGAAAUCGUCGCACACGCACAGCUCUGGCUCAAGUCACCCUGCGGUAUGAUCCACAAACUGGCUCAACCAUCCGGCGACGAAAUCGUCGCACACGCCAUGACAAUGGUUCUUUAGCCCCGGGCAGCGAAAUCGUCGCACACACCCUGCACAACUCUUGGUGUUCCACGAGUCCUGAGAUUCUGGAAUCCAUUUCACAGUACUCAAGGAUUGGUCUUAACCCUAUGAAAUUGACCUAUCUAGGUCCAAGCCUUUACUCAACCUAAGUUAAUACUUUAGGUUCAUUGCUUUCAUACUCUUAGCCUAGGUUUAUUAACACUAGGUCCAUUAUUCUCGUCUACCUAGAUUCACUUGACUCUAGGUUCUUACCUUUACCUCACAACCUAUGUUCUCUAACAUUAGGUUUAAUGCCUUUCUCGUUAACCUAUGUUUAUUAACACUAGGUUCAUUAUCACUCUUGUUCAACCUAGGUUCACGACUCUAGGUUCAAUGCCACUCGAUCUAUAUGUAUACAUAUGUCCUUUACUCCUAGGUUCACGACUCUAGGUUCAAUGCCACUCGAUCUAUAUGUAUACAUAUGUCCCUUACUUAGCAUUCUUACAUUAACUAUAUUCUUAGCAUUAACCACAUGCUUGCAUUUAUUAAUUCUACAUCAUGCUUAUCAUACAAUUACUUAGCAUUCUUACAUUAACAUUUCUACACAUACAACAUGACUAACGUAUGUCAUUUAUUCUAUGCUUUCCACUUAGCAUUAUUUACACUAUGUCAUUACGCACCGUUUGGUAGCCUCACUUAGCAUUCAUCUCAUGCAUACACAUGGUCUAUUAAUAGCUACCAUUAUAUGCAUCAAUAAUAAUACUCAUUCUUAGACAUACAGGCGACCUAGUCGCUUCGGUAAAUACAACCGACCUUAACUCGCGUUUCGAUUGCUUGUCGACACUUGCAAUCGGCCUCCCGCGGCACCCGUAUCCGGCACAGCCCAAUAUUGCAAUUGCACCACAACCGUGCUCCGCUUCGCAGCCCCGAAAAUUAUAGGUCUUCGGUUAUGUGCCACGGUGCUCCAAAUCCAUUUCCACGAUUUUACGACGUCGCCUCGGCCCUCCAGACGGCAACGAAGCCUAAACGUCUGUUUCUUUAAUAACUUCGCAACGGCUCGUCGGAUUGCCGAACCGUCUUCGCCAACG
Molecule: long non-coding RNA, 1407 nt
Filed under: Ananas comosus (pineapple)
Lineage: Eukaryota; Viridiplantae; Streptophyta; Magnoliopsida; Poales; Bromeliaceae
Description: long non-coding RNA (ACOM_LNC011986)
Source: RNAcentral